This 1261-nucleotide long non-coding RNA is filed under the name Mustela putorius furo (domestic ferret). Its description in RNAcentral is "lncRNA (ENSMPUG00000024147.1)". Lineage: Eukaryota; Metazoa; Chordata; Mammalia; Carnivora; Mustelidae. The record is from RNAcentral.
CACCCAGCGUCAAAAAUGACCAAUUCAUGAUUGAUCUUAUUUUAUCUCUAUUCCUACUUAUCUCUUUACCUCUAGGUUUUUUGAAGUCAAUCAUCAAUACCUUUAACUUAUAUAUAUUGGAGUAUGAAUCUCUAAAAGGAUUAUUUUGGAAUCUUCUGGAUAUGAGAGAUAGUAAAAAGGUGAAACAGUAGGACUGGAACAUAAGGGAAGAAAUAGAGAAAACCAUGGUUUCCAUACUCUUUGGAGAAUAAUUCUUUGUUGGUUUGUUUGUAUAAGGCUCUUUGAAGAGAUCAACAAAGGGAAUAAUGGUGAGUUUUCAUUUAGUACCAGAUCUGAGUUCUGUCUAAGCCUUACUGGCAAUUAAAUAUAUCAGUCAAAUUUAUAUAAAAACAAAUAUCAUUGAAAUAAAUUAGAAGUAAUUGCUGAGAGAGUAAAUCACAUGAGAUAGUUAUUCACUCUACUUGGUCACAUGACAUGAAAAAAUUGUUCCUCUUAGAGCUGUGUAGUGCCAUGCAAAAUUGUAGAGAUUUUCCUCCACCUCCUUUUCACAUGCUUCUCAUACUGUAGUACCUUCUAACCCUACAGCCAUCGCCCUAUUCUGGAUUCAAAUGUCUAUAUUAUGCUGUAGUCCUUCACACAGCGCCUAGAGCAGAAAUGAGGGACCCUGCCUCUGUCACCCACCUGUAUCUACUAUCUACCAAAUCCUGUUGAAUGUAUCUCCUAAAAAAGAGCCAAACAAACAGAUUGAGUCUACAUCCUAAAAAACUCUUGAGAAACCAUUUACUCCUCUCCAUUAUCAUUGCCUAAGUCAUUGCUUUACCCAGAACAUCAUUUUCUCACCAAUUAUAGUGAGAUCAACUACUCAUUACUCAUCUUGCUUCAUUUAUCCUCCUGUUUCCUUUCUUAUGUGACUCCAUGUGGCAAUAUUUAUCCUAUUUAUAUCUUCAAGCCAUUUUCUGUAUUGUUAUCUGAGUCAUCUUUUAAAAUACAAGUUAAAUGCUUCUAUGACCCCUAUUGUUUUUUCAAUUUAAAUUCAAUUAAUUAACAUAUAGUGUAUUAUUAGUUUCAGAGGUAGAGUUCAGUGAUUCAUCAGUUCUAUAUAAAUGCAGUGCUCAUUACAUCUCUUGCCCUCCUUAAUGCCCAUUACCCUGUUGCCUGCCCCCCAAUCUCCUCCAGCAACCCUCAGUUUGUUUCCUGUGGUUAAGAGUCUCUUAUGGUUUGCCUCCUAUCUGAUUACAUCUUGUUUUAUUUUUCCCUCCCU